This is a microRNA precursor of Gossypium arboreum, 145 nucleotides long. It matches the Rfam family "MIR7502 microRNA precursor family". The record is from Rfam. NCBI's taxonomy places the organism in Eukaryota, Viridiplantae, Streptophyta, Magnoliopsida, Malvales, Malvaceae.
UAUUAAAAAUUUCAUCCAUUUCUACAGUUAAAAAUUGGCGUGACUGAUAGAAUAACUAGACAAUUACACAUGGCAUGCUAUGUGUACCUCAUGUUAAUGUAUAAAUACCAACUUUUAACAGUAGAAAUAGAUAAAUUAUUUAACG